UAGGGAAUCUUCGGCAAUGGGGGGAACCCUGACCGAGCAACGCCGCGUGAGUGAAGAAGGUUUUCGGAUCUUAAAGCUCUGUUGUUAAGGAAGAACGAGUGUGAGAAUGGAAAGUUCAUACUGUGACGGUACUUAACCAGAAAGGGACGGCUAACUACGUGCCAGCAGCCGCGGUAAUACGUAGGUCCCGAGCGUUGUCCGGAUUUAUUGGGCGUAAAGCGAGCGCAGGCGGUUAGAUAAGUCUGAAGUUAAAGGCAGUGGCUCAACCAUUGUAGGCUUUGGAAACUGUUUAACUUGAGUGCAGAAGGGGAGAGUGGAAUUCCAUGUGUAGCGGUGAAAUGCGUAGAUAUAUGGGGGAACACCGGUGGCGAAAGCGGCUCUCUGGUCUGUAACUGACGCUGAGGCUCGAAAGCGUGGGUAGCAAACAGG
RNAcentral lists this ribosomal RNA (429 nucleotides) under Bacteroidota bacterium. RNAcentral's name for it is "Bacteroidetes bacterium partial 16S ribosomal RNA". It matches the Rfam family "Bacterial small subunit ribosomal RNA", at positions 355 to 776 of the family's 1533-position model. The record is from RNAcentral. Lineage: Bacteria; Pseudomonadati; Bacteroidota.